AUAUUUCUGGUAAUGUGGAUUCCUUCAAUACAUUUUGCUUCCUAACAUCCUCCCUUUCAAGGCAGAUUUUACUAAAAUGGCCAGCUGCCCAGAAUCCUGUGAAAGAAAACUGAGAUCCACAUAGUCAACAGUUCUUAGAAGACAGUUACUGAUGCCAGUUUGAAGACCACUUCCCACCUUGAUCAUGCAAAGAUAGUGUUGGCAAAAUGUAGCCCAUCAGAUCUAGUUGAACCGCAUCAUUCAUUGUGUAUUAUAAUAGGCGUAGUCUUCUGAGAAGGUCUCUCAUUGUUCCCACGAAAAGACAUGGGAGGUGUGAAAAAAAUGUCAGUCAUUUGUUAAGUUUGCCUUAGUAGAGUGCCCACAGAAAUCUGUGUCU
RNAcentral lists this long non-coding RNA (376 nucleotides) under Pogona vitticeps (central bearded dragon). RNAcentral describes it as "lncRNA (ENSPVIG00000015951.1)". The record is from RNAcentral. Lineage: Eukaryota; Metazoa; Chordata; Lepidosauria; Squamata; Agamidae.